This 157-nucleotide ribosomal RNA is filed under the name Paecilomyces sp. RNAcentral's name for it is "5.8S ribosomal RNA". The stretch from base 62 to 157 matches the Rfam family "5.8S ribosomal RNA", at positions 1 to 96 of the family's 154-position model. From Rfam's summary of the family: 5.8S ribosomal RNA (5.8S rRNA) is a component of the large subunit of the eukaryotic ribosome. It is transcribed by RNA polymerase I as part of the 45S precursor that also contains 18S and 28S rRNA. The record is from RNAcentral. Lineage: Eukaryota; Fungi; Ascomycota; Eurotiomycetes; Eurotiales; Thermoascaceae.
AAACUCUUCUGUAUUUCUUUAUCUAAUAUAUACUGUCUGAGUAAAAACUAAAAUGAAUCAAAACUUUCAACAACGGAUCUCUUGGUUCUGGCAUCGAUGAAGAACGCAGCGAAAUGCGAUAAGUAAUGUGAAUUGCAGAAUUCAGUGAAUCAUCGAA